AGACGUCUACAUUAGAUACCCCUGUAGUCCCAGCCGUAAACUAUGCGCGUUAGGUGUAUCGGUGACCACGAGUUACCGAGGUGCCGAAGGGAAACCGUGAAACGUGCCGCCUGGGAAGUACGGUCGCAAGGCUGAAACUUAAAGGAAUUGGCGGGGGAGCGCCACAACGGGUGGAGCCUGCGGUUUAAUUGGACUCAACGCCGGACAACUCACCGGGGACGACAGCAAUAUGUAGGCCAGGCUGAAGACCUUGCCUGAAUCGCUG
This 265-nucleotide ribosomal RNA is filed under the name uncultured archaeon. Its description in RNAcentral is "partial 16S ribosomal RNA". It matches the Rfam family "Archaeal small subunit ribosomal RNA", at positions 714 to 982 of the family's 1478-position model. The record is from RNAcentral.